Xyrauchen texanus (razorback sucker) is the source of this 167-nucleotide small nucleolar RNA. RefSeq annotates it as small nucleolar RNA SNORD97. The record is from RefSeq and is a predicted model, not a curated record. NCBI's taxonomy places the organism in Eukaryota, Metazoa, Chordata, Actinopteri, Cypriniformes, Catostomidae. The transcript has a single exon.
UGACCCAAUGAUGAUAAACUAAGCGCAUAGAGGGAAUUGGUGUGUAAAGAUGACUUUGGGAAUUCUUUUUCUUCUCUCUCCUUCUUUCUCCACUUUUCUCUGUCUCUCCUUAAAGUCUCUGUCACUCCUGUCCCAGUGAGCGUCAAGAUUAUGAGAUCUGAGGGUCA